This 255-nucleotide ribosomal RNA is filed under the name uncultured bacterium. Its description in RNAcentral is "partial 16S ribosomal RNA". It matches the Rfam family "Bacterial small subunit ribosomal RNA", at positions 15 to 263 of the family's 1533-position model. The record is from RNAcentral.
GAUCCUGGCUAAGGAUGAACGCUAGCGACAGGCUUAACACAUGCAAGUCGAGGGGCAGCGAGGGAGUGGCAACACUUCUGUCGGCGACCGGCGCACGGGUGAGUAACGCGUAUGCAACCUGCCCUUCACAGGGGGGAUAACCGGGAGAAAUUCCGACUAAUACCGCAUACGUCCUCCGGGGGCAUCCCCGGGGGAUGAAAGAAUUAUCGGUGAAGGAUGGGCAUGCGUGAUAUUAGGUAGUUGGCGGGGCAACGG